This 484-nucleotide ribosomal RNA is filed under the name uncultured bacterium. Its description in RNAcentral is "partial 16S ribosomal RNA". It matches the Rfam family "Bacterial small subunit ribosomal RNA", at positions 30 to 507 of the family's 1533-position model. The record is from RNAcentral.
AUUGAACGCUGGCGGCGGGCCUAACACAUGCAAGUCGAGCGGAUGAAGGGAGCUUGCUCCUGGAUUCAGCGGCGGACGGGUGAGUAAUGCCUAGGAAUCUGCCUGGUAGUGGGGGAUAACGUCCGGAAACGGGCGCUAAUACCGCAUACGUCCUGAGGGAGAAAGUGGGGGAUCUUCGGACCUCACGCUAUCAGAUGAGCCUAGGUCGGAUUAGCUAGUUGGUGGGGUAAAGGCCUACCAAGGCGACGAUCCGUAACUGGUCUGAGAGGAUGAUCAGUCACACUGGAACUGAGACACGGUCCAGACUCCUACGGGAGGCAGCAGUGGGGAAUAUUGGACAAUGGGCGAAAGCCUGAUCCAGCCAUGCCGCGUGUGUGAAGAAGGUCUUCGGAUUGUAAAGCACUUUAAGUUGGGAGGAAGGGUAGUAAGUUAAUACCUUGCUGUUUUGACGUUACCAACAGAAUAAGCACCGGCUAACUUCGUG